Peromyscus maniculatus bairdii (prairie deer mouse) is the source of this 396-nucleotide non-coding RNA. The record is from RefSeq and is a predicted model, not a curated record. Lineage: Eukaryota; Metazoa; Chordata; Mammalia; Rodentia; Cricetidae.
CUGAGGGGAGAGACACUGCAGCCACCGCCAGGAGAAGCAGCAUGUAAAGACUCUGUGGGCUUCCAUUUGGCUGACUGAUACAUCCAGGCACUGGCUGCUGACAUCAACCUGUAAGACAUGGACUUGCUGAAAGCUGAUAUGUACCAAGCCAGGCAAUAUGAAUGCUUCUUGUUUCCAGCUGGAUCAAAUCAGAAGAUGGAUGGGCACAGAAGAACCUCAAUUGCUGCCAGGGCCUUCUUCAGACCAUGGACAACAGGACUAGGAACCCAUUGCCUCACUUUUGGCUAGACAAGCUAGGCUGGUCCGUCCCACAAGUUCCUACCCCACAACUGUCUCUAUUCCCACGAGGUAUGCACCUCCUCUCUCUCUCUCUCUCUCUCUCUCUCUCUCUCUCUC